CACGCUGUAAACGAUGAAAACUAAGUAUUGCCGCGAGGCAGUGCUGUAGCUAACGCAUUAAGUUUUCCGCCUGGGGAGUACGCUCGCAAGAGUGAAACUUAAAGGAAUUGACGGGGGCCCGCACAAGCAGUGGAGCAUGUGGUUUAAUUCGAAGCAACGCGAAGAACCUUACCUGGACUUGACAUCCCCUGAAUGACUCGUAAUGGAGGAAGCCCUACGGGGCAGGGAGACAGGUGG
This 237-nucleotide ribosomal RNA is filed under the name uncultured bacterium. Its description in RNAcentral is "partial 16S ribosomal RNA". It matches the Rfam family "Bacterial small subunit ribosomal RNA", at positions 796 to 1041 of the family's 1533-position model. The record is from RNAcentral.